Molecule: non-coding RNA, 152 nt
Filed under: human gut metagenome
Description: FMN riboswitch (RFN element)
Rfam family: FMN riboswitch aptamer (RFN element)
About the family: The RFN element is a highly conserved domain that is found frequently in the 5'-untranslated regions of prokaryotic mRNAs that encode for flavin mononucleotide (FMN) biosynthesis and transport proteins. This element is a metabolite-dependent riboswitch that directly binds FMN in the absence of proteins.
Source: RNAcentral
AGUCUUCAGGGCGGGGUGCAAGUCCCCACCGGCGGUAUUUGAAGAACAGGGGAUGUAUCAGAAGAACCCCUCAAGCUUCUUAAGCCCGCGAGCCGCAAGGCAGGAACCAGUGAGACUCUGGUGCCGACAGUAUAGUCUGGAUGGAAGAAGAU